UAUUACAGCUUGCAAUGCCAACCCUACUAUUCCUUGUUUUCUCUCUUUCUACUUCAGCGCCGCCUUCUUACCAUCUUUCUUCAUAAUCUCUCACGAAAAUUCCUUCGAUUUAGAAGCCAAUCCAACUCGCUCCAUGGAUUGUGUUGACGGUGUAUUCUCUGUUAAAGGAUUCAUAUUAGAGUAUGAGAUCGUGAUUAGGGAUUGCGAUGGAAUCGGAAUAUCUCACGGAUAACUCCUAUCAAUAGGGAUGUGUGGCAUAGGAAAUGAUCGAUAUGGUCUCCAAAAUGAAGAAGAAUCGGAAUUCAUAUGGGAAGCCAGAUUGUGUACAUGAAGAUACAUACGCAUUUGGGAGGCAUAUUGGGAUAGGCUUGAAGUGAAAGCUAAAUCUGAACAACAGAUACAUACGCAUUUGGGAGGCAUAUUGGGAUAGGCUUGAAGUGAAAGCUAAAUUUGAACAACAAUGCAAAAAUAGGAUGAGUGAGGUAGCAGGACUUGACAUACCGGAGGAUCUAGAUCAACUAUUGAGCACUUUCACACAUUGCGGGAUAAACUUUAAAAGGAGCUUGAUCUGUUUGAGUGGUUUGCUCAUACGCACAAAAAGAAGGAUGGUACAUUCGUUGAUGAGAGGUCAAAGAAAAUCGCUGACGAAAUACAAGCAUGGCGUGAUGCUGCAAUGCAAGAGGCGGAAGGGUCAACUGAGCCACCAGACAUGUCACAAAUGUAUGUGAAUGUUGUUGGUGGGUAAAAAAACAAUGUAUUUAUGGCUUUGGGACUAAGUCAUCUGCAUUUAUCAGCGGGAAUAGCUGUAGUUCAUAUGCUACUUCACAACUUCAACAAGAGAGAAGGAAGGAGAUGGUGAACAAAUAGUUAAAGUCUAUGCGAGUUGAGAUGGAGGCUCAAAUGGAAGCUAAACUACAAGUUGAAAGAACUCAAAUGCAGACUCAAAUGCAAGCUCAGAUUCAGGCUCAAAUGCAAGUUCAGAUUGCAAGUUUGAUGGAUGAGUUGCGUCGCAACGACAUGCUAUUCACUUCAAGUACUCUAGCUGAACAUUUAGCUAAUUCAAAUGAUGAAAACUUAGAAGA
Ipomoea nil (Japanese morning glory) is the source of this 1082-nucleotide long non-coding RNA. RefSeq lists it as uncharacterized. The transcript is spliced from 4 exons. Lineage: Eukaryota; Viridiplantae; Streptophyta; Magnoliopsida; Solanales; Convolvulaceae. The record is from RefSeq and is a predicted model, not a curated record.